GAGGACCUCUGGCGGCGCGCCUAACACAUGCAAGUCGAACGAGCGAGAGAGAGCUUGCUUUCUCAAGCGAGUGGCGAACGGGUGAGUAACGCGUGAGGAACCUGCCUCAAAGAGGGGGACAACAGUUGGAAACGACUGCUAAUACCGCAUAAGCCCACGACCCGGCAUCGGGUAGAGGGAAAAGGAGCAAUCCGCUUUGAGAUGGCCUCGCGUCCGAUUAGCUAGUUGGUGAGGUAAUGGCCCACCAAGGCGACGAUCGGUAGCCGGACUGAGAGGUUGAACGGCCACAUUGGGACUGAGACACGGCCCAGACUCCUACGGGAGGCAGCAGUGGGGAAUAUUGCACAAUGGGGGAAACCCUGAUGCAGCGACGCCGCGUGGAGGAAGAAGGUCUUCGGAUUGUAAACUCCUGUUGUUGAGGAAGAUAAUGACGGUACUCAACAAGGAAGUGACGGCUAACUACGUGCCAGCAGCCGCGGUAAAACGUAGGUCACAAGCGUUGUCCGGAAUUACUGGGUGUAAAGGGAGCGCAGGCGGGAAGACAAGUUGGAAGUGAAAUCCAUGGGCUCAACCCAUGAACUGCUUUCAAAACUGUUUUUCUUGAGUAGUGCAGAGGUAGGCGGAAUUCCCGGUGUAGCGGUGGAAUGCGUAGAUAUCGGGAGGAACACCAGUGGCGAAGGCGGCCUACUGGGCACCAACUGACGCUGAGGCUCGAAAGUGUGGGUAGCAAACAGAAGUAGAUACCCUGGUAGUCCACACUGUAAACGAUCAUUAAUGGGUGUUGGAGGAUUGACCCCUUCAGUGCCGCAGUUAACACAAUAAGUAAAUCCACCUGGGGAGUACGCCCGCAAGGGUGGAAAUUCAAAGGAAAUAACGGGGGGGCCCGCACAAGCAGUGGAGUAUGUGGUUUAAUUUGGACGCAACGCGAAGAACCUUACCAAGUCUUGACAUCCUGCGACGAUGCUGGAAACAGUAUUUUCCUUCGGGACGCAGAGACAGGUGGUGCAUGGUUGUCGUCAGCUCGUGUCGUGAGAUGUUGGGUUAAGUCCCGCAACGAGCGCAACCCUUAUGGUCAGUUACUACGCAAGAGGACUCUGGCCAGACUGCCGUUGACAAAACGGAGGAAGGUGGGGAUGACGUCAAAUCAUCAUGCCCUUUAUGACUUGGGCUACACACGUACUACAAUGGCGUUAAACAAAGAGAAGCAAGACCGCGAGGUGGAGCAAAACUCAGAAACAACGUCCCAGUUCGGACUGCAGGCUGCAACUCGCCUGCACGAAGUCGGAAUUGCUAGUAAUCGCAGAUCAGCAUGCUGCGGUGAAUACGUUCCCGGGCCUUGCACU
This 1343-nucleotide ribosomal RNA is filed under the name uncultured bacterium. RNAcentral describes it as "bacterial SSU rRNA". It matches the Rfam family "Bacterial small subunit ribosomal RNA", at positions 28 to 1387 of the family's 1533-position model. The record is from RNAcentral.